GUUUUAAUAGUUUAAUAUAAAACAUUGGUCUUGUAAAUCAAAAAUAAGAAAAUAUUUCUUUUAAAACU
Molecule: transfer RNA, 68 nt
Filed under: Tipula melanomera gracilispina
Lineage: Eukaryota; Metazoa; Arthropoda; Insecta; Diptera; Tipulidae
Description: tRNA-Thr
Rfam family: tRNA
About the family: Transfer RNA (tRNA) molecules are approximately 80 nucleotides in length.
Source: RNAcentral